UUAAAGCAUAUUAAAAAUGGAAAUUAAGUGAUUUAUAAAUUUUAAGUAAUAUUUCUUUUUAUUCAGGUCCAACAAAGAGACAUUUUAGGAGACAAUAAACCGAAGCUGAAUAUCUUGAUCUUGGGAGACGAUUCCGUUGGAAAAACUUCUCUGGUAUAUCGACAUAUCAACAAAGAAUAUUCUGGUGAAUGCCAAACAACGUUUGGAGCGGAUCUUUUUACAAAGGAAUUCAUUCUUGAUGACACUUUGGUUUCCCUGCAGAUUUGGGACACAACGGGACAUGAUGAAUUUAAAUGUAUGGGCAUGUCAUUCUAUGAAGCCGCCCAUGGCUGCAUUUUUGUCUUUGAUGUUACUAGUCGAAAAUCAUUCGAAAGUCUUAAUUCGUGGUGGCAAGGAUUUUUUUUUAUGACAAAUAAAAAAAACACUCCGGUUGGUGUUGUGGGUAACAAAAUUGACUUGGAAAAUGAACGAAAAGUGUCAAAGCAAGAGGCUCAAGAUUGGUGUAAUUCCUUAUCAAUUCCCUACUUUGAGUGCUCCUCAAAAGAUGACAUAAAUGUGCAACAGGUGUUUGAAGCGAUGACAGCCAAACUUGUAGACACCUAUAAGUUAUAAUUUGAAAUGUAUUCCGAAAUCCUUCGCAUUUCCUUUUCGGUUAUAAUUAUUUGAACA
Drosophila albomicans is the source of this 669-nucleotide long non-coding RNA. RefSeq lists it as uncharacterized. The transcript has 3 exons. The record is from RefSeq and is a predicted model, not a curated record. Lineage: Eukaryota; Metazoa; Arthropoda; Insecta; Diptera; Drosophilidae.